Molecule: ribosomal RNA, 1021 nt
Filed under: Type-B symbiont of Plautia stali
Lineage: Bacteria; Pseudomonadati; Pseudomonadota; Gammaproteobacteria; Enterobacterales; Enterobacteriaceae
Description: bacterial LSU rRNA
Rfam family: Bacterial large subunit ribosomal RNA
Source: RNAcentral
GAUCGAAGCCCCGGUAAACGGCGGCCGUAACUAUAACGGUCCUAAGGUAGCGAAAUUCCUUGUCGGGUAAGUUCCGACCUGCACGAAUGGUGUAAUGAUGGCCAGGCUGUCUCCACCCGAGACUCAGUGAAAUUGAAAUCGCUGUGAAGAUGCAGUGUACCCGCGGCAAGACGGAAAGACCCCGUGAACCUUUACUACAGCUUGACACUGAACACUGGUCCUUGAUGUGUAGGAUAGGUGGGAGGCUUUGAAGCGUGGACGCCAGUCUGCGUGGAGCCGUCCUUGAAAUACCACCCUUUAAUGGCUGGUGUUCUAACGUAGGCCCGUUAUCCGGGCUGCGGACAGUGUCUGGUGGGUAGUUUGACUGGGGCGGUCUCCUCCCAAAGCGUAACGGAGGAGCACGAAGGUUGGCUAAUCCUGGUCGGACAUCAGGAGGUUAGUGCAAUGGCAUAAGCCAGCUUGACUGCGAGAGUGACGGCUCGAGCAGGUGCGAAAGCAGGUCAUAGUGAUCCGGUGGUUCUGAAUGGAAGGGCCAUCGCUCAACGGAUAAAAGGUACUCCGGGGAUAACAGGCUGAUACCGCCCAAGAGUUCAUAUCGACGGCGGUGUUUGGCACCUCGAUGUCGGCUCAUCACAUCCUGGGGCUGAAGCAGGUCCCAAGGGUACGGCUGUUCGCCGUUUAAAGUGGUACGCGAGCUGGGUUUAGAACGUCGUGAGACAGUUCGGUCCCUAUCUGCCGUGGGCGCUGGAAAACUGAGGGGGGUUGCUCCUAGUACGAGAGGACCGGAGUGAACGCACCGCUGGUGUUCGGGUUGUUAUGCCAAUGGCACUGCCCGGUAGCUAAGUGCGGAAGAGAUAAGUGCUGAAAGCAUCUAAGCACGAAACUUGCCCCGAGAUGAGUUUUCCCUGACCCCUUGAGGGUCCUGAAGGGACGUUGAAGACGACGACGUUGAUAGGCCGGGUGUGUAAGCGCAGCGAUGCGUUGAGCUAACCGGUACUAAUGACCCGUGAGGCUUAACCUU